Molecule: long non-coding RNA, 963 nt
Filed under: Homo sapiens (human)
Lineage: Eukaryota; Metazoa; Chordata; Mammalia; Primates; Hominidae
Description: non-protein coding OLMALINC:2
Source: RNAcentral
AUAAAAACAACUUUCACUUCUUCCUAUUGUAAUCGUGUGCCAUGGAUCUGAUCUGUACCAUGACCCUACAUAAGGCUGGAUGGCACCUCAGGCUGAGGGCCCCAAUGUAUGUGUGGCUGUGGGUGUGGGUGGGAGUGUGUCUGCUGAGUAAGGAACACGAUUUUCAAGAUUCUAAAGCUCAAUUCAAGUGACACAUUAAUGAUAAACUCAGAUCUGAUCAAGAGUCCGGAUUUCUAACAGUCCUUGCUUUGGGGGGUGUGCUGACAACUUAGCUCAGGUGCCUUACAUCUUUUCUAAUCACAGUGUUGCAUAUGAGCCUGCCCUCACUCCCUCUGCAGAAUCCCUUUGCACCUGAGACCCUACUGAAGUGGCUGGUAGAAAAAGGGGCCUGAGUGGAGGAUUAUCAGUAUCACGGAGUCAUAUUUUGUGACCUGUAGUUAACUUUCCGUGCUGCAGGCAAAGCGCUGAUUCUUGUACACUGACUUUGGAACAAAUGCCACAGGCCCUAAUUGCAGGCUCCAAGGAGUUGAGAUUCCAUACUGGGGUUGCUGGAGGCAGAAGCCUUCCCACUUUCAGGACCCGGACCUGCCCUUCCCCCACGCGGUCCCGCCCAGCCAGCUACACCCUGGCCACAGAGCGCUCACAAGCUUUGGUGAGCCACAAUCACACCACUGUAGUCCCGCCUGGGUAACAGAGCGAGACUGUCUCAAAAAAAAAAAAAGGGGGGGGAAGGUUUAUGAGGGACCUUGGUAGCUGACUUAGAAUAUGACACAAAUGAGGAAAUAAACCUAUUCCUUAUUGUCCAGAGGGUUGAAUAAAGGAAUAAAACUAUGUGGGAAUGAGAGCAAGCAUGGCUAUGGACAGGAAGGCAGCUCAAAUAACUUGAGCUGUUCUACAGUGUCUUGGGAGGAAUAAGCUGCUUCUCUCACCAUAUUUGUUCAACUCGUCCAAGAUUCUGUAAAC